RNAcentral lists this long non-coding RNA (298 nucleotides) under Homo sapiens (human). Its description in RNAcentral is "non-protein coding lnc-SLC4A3-8:2". The record is from RNAcentral. Lineage: Eukaryota; Metazoa; Chordata; Mammalia; Primates; Hominidae.
AGAAAGAGAGAGAGCAGGAGAGAGAGAGACAGACAGAAUCCACUAGUAGAAUAAGCCAUGAUCACCACUCAAAACUUGUUGCUACUACUUGAUCAGUACCUGGAAUUCUGAGGAAAACCCUAUUAGAGAUUGCAAAUCCAGUAAAUAAAGGCAGCAGUGGUACCUUGUUAAAAACAUCAAAUCCAAAGUGCUCUGAGGAGGAAUAUGUACGGUGUGUUCUAGGGACAGAAAAUAAGACAAACGUGGCUGGAGUAUUGGAAGGGGAAGUGAGUGUUACUAGAGAAGGUCAUGAGGUGAG